This 440-nucleotide long non-coding RNA is filed under the name Coturnix japonica (Japanese quail). RNAcentral describes it as "lncRNA (ENSCJPG00005008637.1)". Lineage: Eukaryota; Metazoa; Chordata; Aves; Galliformes; Phasianidae. The record is from RNAcentral.
CUAAUUAACAAGUUGUUCAUGACUGAAUUUGCAUUUCAGUAAAUAUAUUUUAAUAAUACAUACAUCUAUUAAAUAGUUUCUUGUUGUAGGUAAUGACUACGAUUAUUCAUCCUAGGUGGGAGAUGGAUGAGAAGGCUAGGAUUUUUCGUGUUUGUGUUUGGUUUAGGCCUAUUCAGCCUCCAACUAAUGCGGAGGAAACUGCUAGUAGAGUGAGGAGGGCAGGGUUAAGGGAUUGGGAUGUUAUGAGGAGAAGGGUUAUUGGGGGGAGUUUUAUUAGGGUAGAGAGUAGAAGGGCUGUGAUUAGGGAUUGUGAUGUUAUGAGGAGGAGGCUUAUUGGAGGGAGUUUUAUUAGGGUGGAGAGUAGCAGGGUGGUAGCUAGGGAGGAGCCUUAAAGUACUUUAGGAAAUCAGAAGUGGAAGGGGACUAGUCCUAAUUUGAUU